UCUAUAACAGAGCAACCCUGGUUUUUGGCAGCUGACAAAUGGAAUUAAAUAAUUUGCGUGUGCUUUUGCAACCGAUUUUCAGCGCUGAAAAUUCUAUUUGCACAAUUUGAUAAAUAAUUGCAAAAAUUCACAGUAAAAUACGAAAUUGUAGCAAUAAAGUGAGAAGAAAAUGUAAAUAUAAAUAUUGCAGAAAACAUAAUCGCUAAUAGCUAAAAUAAAAAAUUUGCAUCAUUAAAAUAAUCACAAUUGGUUCCCGAUUGACAAUAAAGCUGCUGGCGGAAACAACCUUUUUACACCGAAUAGUUUCCCCAUUUUUUCAGUAAAUUGUCUAAAUGUGCAUACGCACAGAAGCUAUGACGAGCUGAGCGGUGCGAAGCUUUCAGAAUCGUUCCCACGACAGUCGGGUCUACGUAGCCAGAACAACCCAGCAGCAUUCAUCAAAAACGUUUACAACAAGUUUUCAAAACUAUAACUAUAUGAAACUUUUCAUAUAGUAGGCUAUUUCAGGAGCAUUUUGGAGCUGAAAGUAAAGCUCAUUUAGUAAAAAUAUUUAAAUUAUAAUCGAUUUUUAUAUAAAUCUUUUCAAGAGCAUUCCACAAAUAGGUUUUUCUUUUAAGUGAAGUUUUGCGGUAUAUUUGCAGGUGUGAACAUUAAUAGCUUCGCUCCGCUCGGAACAGUCCUGCUUUCUGAUUGGAAGAUGAUGAUAGGAAAAUGUAAACUGGAACUGAUUUCUUAAAAAAGGACAAUACGGAGACAUAGUUAACAUAAUUAUUUCUUAAAUUAUACACUCAUCCCAUCAUUGAAUAGGCACUUGCGCCCACUCAUCUCAACCCACUGAAGAUUUUGGUCGGGAAAGGCAUUAAAAUUGUCUUAAUCUGCAUGAAAUUUCAUCGCAUAAAUACAUAAAGUGCUGGUUGGAUUAAAAAAAA
Long non-coding RNA from Rhagoletis zephyria (snowberry fruit fly), 929 nucleotides. RefSeq lists it as uncharacterized. The record is from RefSeq and is a predicted model, not a curated record. NCBI's taxonomy places the organism in Eukaryota, Metazoa, Arthropoda, Insecta, Diptera, Tephritidae.